Molecule: ribosomal RNA, 426 nt
Filed under: uncultured bacterium
Lineage: Bacteria
Description: partial 16S ribosomal RNA
Rfam family: Bacterial small subunit ribosomal RNA
Source: RNAcentral
UGGGGAAUAUUGCACAAUGGGCGCAAGCCUGAUGCAGCCAUGCCGCGUGUGUGAAGAAGGCCUUCGGGUUGUAAGCACUUUCAGCGAGGAGGAAGGGCAGUGUGUUAAUAGCACAUUGCAUUGACGUUACUCGCAGAAGAAGCACCGGCUAACUCCGUGCCAGCACCCGCGGUAAUACGGAGGGUGCAAGCGUUAAUCGGAAUUACUGGGCGUAAAGCGCACGCAGGCGGUUUGUUAAGUCAGAUGUGAAAUCCCCGCGCUUAACGUGGGAACUGCAUUUGAAACUGGCAAGCUAGAGUCUUGUAGAGGGGGGUAGAAUUCCAGGUGUAGCGGUGAGAUGCGUAGAGAUCUGGAGGAAUACCGGUGGCGAAGGCGGCUCCCUGGACAAAGACUGACGCUCAGGUGCGAAAGCGUGGGGAGCAAACA